GAUGAACGCUAGCGGCAGGCCUAACACAUGCAAGUCGAGGGGGAGGUUACUUUCGGGUAACUGAGACCGGCGUACGGGUGCGUAACGCGUAUACAAUCUGCCUUUCACUGGGGGAUAGCCCGAAGAAAUUUGGAUUAAUACCCCAUAGUAUAGUAAUACGGCAUCGUGAUGCUAUUAAAGCUUAGGUGGUGAAAGAUGAGUAUGCGUUCUAUUAGCUAGUUGGAGAGGUAACGGCUCCCCAAGGCGAUGAUAGAUAGGGGUUCUGAGAGGGAUGUCCCCCACACUGGUACUGAGAUACGGACCAGACUCCUACGGGAGGCAGCAGUGAGGAAUAUUGGACAAUGGUCGGAAGACUGAUCCAGCCAUGCCGCGUGCAGGAUGAAGGUCUUAUGGAUUGUAAACUGCUUUUGUAAGGGAAGAAUAAGGGCUACGCGUAGUUUGAUGACGGUACCUGACGAAUAAGCAUCGGCUAACUCCGUG
Molecule: ribosomal RNA, 480 nt
Filed under: uncultured bacterium
Lineage: Bacteria
Description: partial 16S ribosomal RNA
Rfam family: Bacterial small subunit ribosomal RNA
Source: RNAcentral